RNAcentral lists this ribosomal RNA (354 nucleotides) under uncultured bacterium. RNAcentral describes it as "bacterial SSU rRNA". It matches the Rfam family "Bacterial small subunit ribosomal RNA", at positions 28 to 363 of the family's 1533-position model. The record is from RNAcentral.
GAUGAACGCUAGCGACAGGCUUAACACAUGCAAGUCGAACGGGACUUUUAAAAUGAAGUUUUCGGAUGGAUUUUUAAAAGUUUAGUGGCGGACGGGUGAGUAACGCGUGAGCAACCUGCCUUUCAGAGGGGGACAACAGUUGGAAACGACUGCUAAUACCGCAUAAUGUAUCGAAGCCGCAUGACUUUGAUACCAAAGAUUUUAUCGCUGAAAGAUGGGCUCGCGUAUGAUUAGAUAGUUGGUGAGGUAACGGCUCACCAAGUCGACGAUCAUUAGCCGGACUGAGAGGUUGAACGGCCACAUUGGGACUGAGACACGGGCCCAGACUCCUACGGGAGGCAGCAGUGAGGAAUA